GAUCCUGGCUCAGGACGAACGCUGGCGGCGUGCUUAACACAUGCAAGUCGAACGGGGAAUUGUGCUUCGGCAGAAUUCCUAGUGGCGAACGGGUGAGUAACGCGUAGGCAACCUGCCCUUCAGACGGGGACAACAUUCCGAAAGGGUGCUAAUACCGGAUACGAAGCUUCUGCCGCAUGACGGAAGCUUGAAAGGCGCUUCAAGGCGCCGCUGAAGGAUGGGCCUGCGUCCGAUUAGCUUGUUGGG
This 246-nucleotide ribosomal RNA is filed under the name uncultured bacterium. RNAcentral describes it as "partial 16S ribosomal RNA". It matches the Rfam family "Bacterial small subunit ribosomal RNA", at positions 15 to 253 of the family's 1533-position model. The record is from RNAcentral.